RNAcentral lists this ribosomal RNA (508 nucleotides) under uncultured Mycoplasma sp. RNAcentral describes it as "bacterial SSU rRNA". It matches the Rfam family "Bacterial small subunit ribosomal RNA", at positions 794 to 1328 of the family's 1533-position model. Lineage: Bacteria; Bacillati; Mycoplasmatota; Mollicutes; Mycoplasmatales; Mycoplasmataceae. The record is from RNAcentral.
UCCACACCGUAAACGAUGGGUAUUGGAUGUCGGGUCUUGAGGCUCGGUGUUGUAGCUAACGUGUUAAAUACCCCGCCUGGGUAGUACGUAUGCAAAUAUGAAACUCAAAGGAAUUGACGGGGACCUGAACAAGUGGUGGAACAUGUUGCUUAAUUCGAUAAUACACGAAAAACCUUACCAAGGUUUGACAUCCCUCGCAAAGCCAUAGAAAUAUGGUGGAGGUUAUCGAGGUGACAGGUGGUGCAUGGUUGUCGUCAGCUCGUGUCAUGAGAUGUUUGGUUAAGUCCCGCAACGAGCGCAACCCUGCUCUUUAGUUAACUAUCUAAAGAGACUGAACAGUAAUGUAUAGGAAGGUUGGGAUCACGUCAAAUCAUCAUGCCCCUUAUGCCUUGGGCCGCAAACGUGUUACAAUGGCGAGCACAAAGUGUCGCAAUCUAGCGAUAGUGAGCUAAUCAUUAAAACUCGUCCCAGUUCGGAUAAAAGGCUGCAAUUCGCCUUUUUGAAGUUG